Molecule: long non-coding RNA, 420 nt
Filed under: Homo sapiens (human)
Lineage: Eukaryota; Metazoa; Chordata; Mammalia; Primates; Hominidae
Description: HSALNT0364777
Source: RNAcentral
AGUGAAAGAGUGUUGUGUGCUUUUGCUGAGUUUAGGAUGGUGUCAAUUGUGCCUCAGGAGAAGAGUUUAGACAUUCUGUCCUGAUGAAUGUAAUCAAGUCUUUAUUUCAUGGUUUCUCUUAACGCAAAUACGUACAGGUUCAUAUUCGUCGAUGAGGGUGAGAGGAAAACUAUCGCCAACAGAAAGAAUCCAGAUAGGAAGAGAGAAAAAGAAAGACCAGAGAUGGAUUUUGUGUCCUUUUUAAAACAGCCUCAAUCACCUGAUUCCUCCCUGCCACUUCUCUGCAAAUGAUAGAGUUCACACAUCUAUAAUUCUCUCAUAGGUUCAUGUGGGCUGCUCCUCAUAACCCUGCUCAAACACUACUGAGGCAUCAGGAUCUUCAAGAUUCAUUUUCUCUUGCCACCACCAUAUAAGAAGUGC